RNAcentral lists this ribosomal RNA (900 nucleotides) under uncultured archaeon. Its description in RNAcentral is "bacterial SSU rRNA". It matches the Rfam family "Archaeal small subunit ribosomal RNA", at positions 1 to 919 of the family's 1478-position model. The record is from RNAcentral.
UCCGGUUGAUCCCGCCAGAGACCAUUGCUAUCCGAGUUCUACUAAGCCAUGCGAGCCGAUCGGGUUCCCGAGGCGAAUUGCUCCGUAAUACGUAGUCAACCUGCCCUUAGCUGGCGGACAACCUUGGGAAACUGAGGCUAAUCCGCCAUAGUUCUGGUUAACUGGAAGUGACUAGAACAAAAGCUCUUGCGGCUGGAUGGGACUGCGGCCGAUCAGGCUGUUGAUGGUGUAACGAACUAUCAAACCUAUUACCGGUAGGGGCUAUGGAAGUAGGAACCCCGAGAUGGACUCUGAGACAUGAGUCCAGGUACUACGGUACGCAGCAGGCGAGAAAACUUUUCAAUGCCUUCACGGGCGAAAAGGGGACUUGGAGUGCUUCUCACUGCAGAACUUUUGCUCUCUGAAAACGCGAGGGUGAAUAAGGGCCGGGCAAACGGGUGCCAGCCGCCACGGUAAUACCCGAGGCCCGAGUGAUGGUCACUGUUAUUGGGUCUAAAGCGUCCGUAGCCGGCUUGGUAAGUUCCCUGUGAAAUCUGUCAGUAAACUGGCAGGCUUGCGGGGAAUACUGUCAGGCUUGAGACCGGGAGAGGGUAUAGGUACUUCUAGGGUAGGGGUUAAAUCCUUUAAUCCUAGGGGGACCACCUGUGGCGAAGGCGUCUACCUAGAACGGGUCUGACGGUGAGGGACGAAGGCUAGGGGAGCGAAUGGGAUUAGAUACCCCAGUAGUCCUAGCAGUAAACAAUGCCCACUUGGUGUUGCAAUCUUCUUGGGAGAUUGCAGUGCCGGAGCGUAGGUGUUAAGUGGGCCACCUGGGGAGUAUGCUCGCAAGGGUGAAACUUAAGGGAAUUGGCGGGGGAGCACACAAGCGGUGGAGGCUGCGGUUCAAAUGGAUUCAACGCC